This 207-nucleotide ribosomal RNA is filed under the name uncultured bacterium. RNAcentral's name for it is "partial 16S ribosomal RNA". It matches the Rfam family "Bacterial small subunit ribosomal RNA", at positions 568 to 774 of the family's 1533-position model. The record is from RNAcentral.
AGCGCAGGCGGUUUUUUAAGUCUGAUGUGAAAGCCCUUGGCUCAACCAAGGAAGUGCAUCGGAAACUGGAGAACUUGAGUGCAGAAGAGGACAGUGGAACUCCAUGUGUAGCGGUGAAAUGCGUAGAUAUAUGGAAGAACACCAGUGGCAAAGGCGGCUGUCUGGUCUGUAACUGACGCUGAGGCUCGAAAGCAUGGGUAGCGAACA